RNAcentral lists this transfer RNA (72 nucleotides) under Camelus bactrianus (Bactrian camel). It matches the Rfam family "tRNA". From Rfam's summary of the family: Transfer RNA (tRNA) molecules are approximately 80 nucleotides in length. Their secondary structure includes four short double-helical elements and three loops (D, anti-codon, and T loops). Further hydrogen bonds mediate the characteristic L-shaped molecular structure. tRNAs have two regions of fundamental functional importance: the anti-codon, which is responsible for specific mRNA codon recognition, and the 3' end, to which the tRNAs corresponding amino acid is attached (by aminoacyl-tRNA synthetases). tRNAs cope with the degeneracy of the genetic code in two manners: having more than one tRNA (with a specific anti-codon) for a particular amino acid; and 'wobble' base-pairing, i.e. permitting non-standard base-pairing at the 3rd anti-codon position. RNAcentral also lists the same sequence under 2 other names. The record is from Rfam by way of RNAcentral. Lineage: Eukaryota; Metazoa; Chordata; Mammalia; Artiodactyla; Camelidae.
GAGGGUAUAGCUUAGUGGUAGAGUGCUUGCCUAGCAUGCAUGAGGUCCUGGGUUCAAUCCUCAGUACCGCCA